UGAUCCAGCCAUCCGCGUGUGCGAUGAAGGCAUUCGGGUUGUAAAGCACUUUUGGCAGGGUAGAAACGGCUUGGGCUCAUACCGUGGGCUAAUGACGGUACAUGCAGAAUAAGCACCGGCUAACUAUGUGCCAGCAGCCGCGGUAUACGUAGGGUGCAAGCGUUAAUGGGAUUACUGGGCGUAAAGCGUGUGCAGGCGGUUCGGAAAGAAUGGUGUGAAAUCCCGGGGCUUUACCUCGUAAUUGCACUUUUAACUGCCGGGCUAGAGUACGUCAGAGGGGGGUAGAAUUUCCACUUGUAGCAGUGAAAUGCGUAGAGAUGUGGAGGAAUACCGAUGCGAAGGCAGCCCCCUGGGAUUAUACUGACGCUCAUGCACGAAAGCGUGGGGAGCAAACAGGAUUAGAUACCCUGGUAGUCUCACGCCCUAACGAUGUCAACUAUGCUGUUGGGGUUAUUACUUAGUAGCGCAGCUAACGCGAUGAUAGUUGACCGCCUGGGGA
Molecule: ribosomal RNA, 499 nt
Filed under: uncultured Denitrobacter sp.
Lineage: Bacteria; Pseudomonadati; Pseudomonadota; Betaproteobacteria
Description: bacterial SSU rRNA
Rfam family: Bacterial small subunit ribosomal RNA
Source: RNAcentral